AUUGUUAGUUGCCAUCAUUCAGUUGGGCACUCUAGCGAGACUGCCGGUAAUAAACCGGAGGAAGGUGGGGAUGACGUCAAAUCAUCAUGCCCCUUAUGACCUGGGCUACACACGUGCUACAAUGGUUGGUACAACGAGUUGCGAGUCGGUGACGGCGAGCUAAUCUCUUAAAGCCAAUCUCAGUUCGGAUUGUAGGCUGCAACUCGCCUACAUGAAGUCGGAAUCGCUAGUAAUCGCGGAUCAGCAUGCCGCGGUGAAUACGUUCCCGGGCCUU
RNAcentral lists this ribosomal RNA (274 nucleotides) under uncultured Streptococcus sp. RNAcentral describes it as "partial 16S ribosomal RNA". It matches the Rfam family "Bacterial small subunit ribosomal RNA", at positions 1107 to 1382 of the family's 1533-position model. The record is from RNAcentral. Lineage: Bacteria; Bacillati; Bacillota; Bacilli; Lactobacillales; Streptococcaceae.